CGCCAUGUUGGUCUAGGCCAGGGAUCGAUUCUCCUCAGACGCAGAAUUGCUUGCUUUAUCCCUUUGGCCACAUGGGUAUGGGCCUCUUUCUUAAGGCCCAUUUGAAAGCCUGGGGGGGACACUACCCGUGGAAUACCCUCUCCCCAGAGAUUAGUCUCGGAUCCUUCCAUUGGUCUGGGGAUUUACCAUGAGUUAACAAAAAAAAGAAAAAAUGAAAAAUUAAGAGAGGAUAAACUGAAUUUCUCACUUAACCUUCGUUAAGUGACUAUGCAAGAGCCUAAAAC
RNAcentral lists this long non-coding RNA (284 nucleotides) under Capsella rubella. Its description in RNAcentral is "long non-coding RNA (CRUB_LNC001669)". The record is from RNAcentral. Lineage: Eukaryota; Viridiplantae; Streptophyta; Magnoliopsida; Brassicales; Brassicaceae.